RNAcentral lists this ribosomal RNA (468 nucleotides) under uncultured bacterium. RNAcentral's name for it is "partial 16S ribosomal RNA". It matches the Rfam family "Bacterial small subunit ribosomal RNA", at positions 28 to 507 of the family's 1533-position model. The record is from RNAcentral.
GACGAACGCUGGCGGCGUGCUUAACACAUGCAAGUCGAACGGAAAGGCCCUGCUUUUGUGGGGUGCUCGAGUGGCGAACGGGUGAGUAACAAGUGAGUAACCUGCCCUUGACUUUGGGAUAACUUCAGGAAACUGGGGCUAAUACCGGAUAGGAGCUCCUGCUGCAUGGUGGGGGUUGGAAAGUUUCGGCGGUUGGGGAUGGACUCGCGGCUUAUCAGCUUGUUGGUGGGGUAGUGGCUUACCAAGGCUUUGACGGGUAGCCGGCCUGAGAGGGUGACCGGCCACAUUGGGACUGAGAUACGGCACAGACUCCUACGGGAGGCAGCAGUGGGGAAUAUUGCACAAUGGGCGGAAGCCUGAUGCAGCAACGCCGCGUGCGGGAUGACGGCCUUCGGGUUGUAAACCGCUUUCGCCUGUGACGAAGCGUGAGUGACGGUAAUGGGUAAAGAAGCACCGGCUAACUACGUG